GAGUUUGAUCGUGGCUCAGGUUGAACGCUGGCGGCAGGCCUAACACAUGCAAGUCGAGCGGAUGACGGGAGCUUGCUCCUUGAUUCAGCGGCGGACGGGUGAGUAAUGCCUAGGAAUCUGCCUGGUAGUGGGGGACAACGUUUCGAAAGGAACGCUAAUACCGCAUACGUCCUACGGGAGAAAGCAGGGGACCUUCGGGCCUUGCGCUAUCAGAUGAGCCUAGGUCGGAUUAGCUAGUUGGUGGGGUAAUGGCUCACCAAGGCGACGAUCCGUAACUGGUCUGAGAGGAUGAUCAGUCACACUGGAACUGAGACACGGUCCAGACUCCUACGGGAGGCAGCAGUGGGGAAUAUUGGACAAUGGGCGAAAGCCUGAUCCAGCCAUGCCGCGUGUGUGAAGAAGGUCUUCGGAUUGUAAAGCACUUUAAGUUGGGAGGAAGGGCAGUAAGUUAAUACCUUGCUGUUUUGACGUUACCGACAGAAUAAGCACCGGCUAACUCUGUGCCAGCCGCCGCCG
RNAcentral lists this ribosomal RNA (516 nucleotides) under bacterium enrichment culture clone ALO1_GLFRUDD03GKQYZ. RNAcentral's name for it is "bacterial SSU rRNA". It matches the Rfam family "Bacterial small subunit ribosomal RNA", at positions 9 to 520 of the family's 1533-position model. The record is from RNAcentral.